GACGAACGCUGGCGGCGUGCUUAACACAUGCAAGUCGAACGGAAAGGCCCUGCUUUUGUGGGGUGCUCGAGUGGCGAACGGGUGAGUAGCACGUGAGUAACCUGCCCUUGACUUUGGGAUAACUUCAGGAAACUGGGGCCAAUACCGGAUAGGAGCUCCUGCUGCAUGGUGGGGGUUGGAAAGUUUCGGCGGUUGGGGAUGGACUCGCGGCUUAUCAGCUUGUUGGUGGGGUAGUGGCUUACCAAGGCUUUGACGGGUAGCCGGCCUGAGAGGGUGACCGGCCACAUUGGGACUGAGAUACGGCCCAGACUCCUACGGGAGGCAGCAGUGGGGAAUAUUGCACAAUGGGCGGAAGCCUGAUGCAGCAACGCCGCGUGCGGGAUGACGGCCUUCGGGUUGUAAACCGCUUUCGCCUGUGACGAAGCGUGAGUGACGGUAAUGGGUAAAGAAGCACCGGCUAACUACGUG
Molecule: ribosomal RNA, 468 nt
Filed under: uncultured bacterium
Lineage: Bacteria
Description: partial 16S ribosomal RNA
Rfam family: Bacterial small subunit ribosomal RNA
Source: RNAcentral